UGCGGAUUGAUGUAAUAGUAACAUGCCUGGCUCAUGACCAGUUUAUAGAGGUGCGAAUCCUUUGUCCGUUA
This 71-nucleotide transfer RNA is filed under the name Peltigera aphthosa. RNAcentral's name for it is "tRNA-Met". It matches the Rfam family "tRNA". Rfam says of the family: Transfer RNA (tRNA) molecules are approximately 80 nucleotides in length. Lineage: Eukaryota; Fungi; Ascomycota; Lecanoromycetes; Peltigerales; Peltigeraceae. RNAcentral also lists the same sequence under 1 other name. The record is from RNAcentral.